RNAcentral lists this ribosomal RNA (425 nucleotides) under uncultured bacterium. RNAcentral describes it as "bacterial SSU rRNA". It matches the Rfam family "Bacterial small subunit ribosomal RNA", at positions 355 to 776 of the family's 1533-position model. The record is from RNAcentral.
UGGGGAAUAUUGCGCAAUGGGCGAAAGCCUGACGCAGCUACGCCGCGUGUGUGAAGAAGGCCUUCGGGUUGUAAAGCACUGUCAGGAGGGAAGAACUGACGUGGUAACUCCACGUCUCUGACGGUACCUCCAAAGGAAGCACUGGCUAACUCCGUGCCAGCAGCCGCGGUAAUACGGAGAGUGCAAGCGUUGUUCGGAAUUACUGGGCGUAAAGAGCGUGUAGGCGGCCUGGCAAGUCUGGUGUGAAAGCCCGGGGCUCAACCCCGGAAGUGCAUCGGAAACUGCCAAGCUUGAGUACUGGAGGGGGAAGCGGAAUUCCGAGUGUAGAGGUGAAAUUCGUAGAUAUUCGGAGGAACAUCUGUGGCGAAGGCGGCUUCCUGGACAGAUACUGACGCUGAGACGCGAAAGCGUGGGGAGCAAACAGG